RNAcentral lists this long non-coding RNA (193 nucleotides) under Phasianus colchicus (ring-necked pheasant). Its description in RNAcentral is "lncRNA (ENSPCLG00000015560.1)". The record is from RNAcentral. Lineage: Eukaryota; Metazoa; Chordata; Aves; Galliformes; Phasianidae.
UUAUGAUUCCUAUUCUUCAUGGAAGCCUGUCUGGAUUCAUAUGCUUUUUUUUCUCCGUUGUCAAAAUUGAUGGAAGUACAGACAUGGAUUUAAGAGCUUUGAUGCUUUUGGAUGUUUAAUUCAGAUUUGGUAAAUGACGUGGAAUAAGAUACUGCCUGAACAAGCUGAAAUGCCUUGAAGACUUUUGGUUCUG